UACGGGGGGGGCAAGCGUUGUUCGGAAUUACUGGGCGUAAAGGGCUCGCAGGUGGCCAACUAAGUCAGACGUGAAAUCCCUCGGCUUAACCGGGGAACUGCGUCUGAUACUGGAUGGCUUGAGAUUGGGAGAGGGACGCGGAAUUCCAGGUGUAGCGGUGAAAUGCGUAGAUAUCUGGAGGAACACCGGUGGCGAAGGCGGCGUCCUGGACCAACACUGACACUGAUGAGCGAAAGCCAGGGGAGCAAACGGG
This 253-nucleotide ribosomal RNA is filed under the name uncultured bacterium. RNAcentral describes it as "partial 16S ribosomal RNA". It matches the Rfam family "Bacterial small subunit ribosomal RNA", at positions 524 to 776 of the family's 1533-position model. The record is from RNAcentral.